This 120-nucleotide ribosomal RNA is filed under the name uncultured bacterium. RNAcentral's name for it is "partial 16S ribosomal RNA". It matches the Rfam family "Bacterial small subunit ribosomal RNA", at positions 796 to 916 of the family's 1533-position model. The record is from RNAcentral.
CACGCCGUAAACGAUGAGUACUAGCUGUCGGAGGUUACCCCCUUCGGUGGCGCAGCUAACGCAUUAAGUACUCCGCCUGGGGAGUACGCUCGCAAGAGUGAAACUCAAAGGAAUUGACGG